Molecule: long non-coding RNA, 1921 nt
Organism: Hippocampus zosterae (dwarf seahorse)
Lineage: Eukaryota; Metazoa; Chordata; Actinopteri; Syngnathiformes; Syngnathidae
Exons: 2
Source: RefSeq, a predicted model, not a curated record
AAUAAUUCAUUUUAUGCUUUUGCUUAUGUUAACCACGCUUUAUUGCUCUUUAUUCAGUGUGUAAGAAUAACAGACAUGUUCUCUCAGUUCUUCAUCUCAGGGAGUAACGCACAUAACGGCAGUUCUUUAUCUCAGUGAAAAACACCAAGGGAGCGACAUAACGGCCGUCCGUGCGGGCCACUGCUGCGCGGGCAGUGGCGGGAAAACACCAAGAAGACCAGAAUACGUGGAAACACCAAGAAGACCAGAAUACGUGGAAACACCAAGAAGACCGGGCUCCAGAAUGCGUGGACCAAUCCGCGUUAGUCUAGGCUCAUGAAUAAACAAUGAUCUGUUGUAAUAUAUUCUGUCUGUCCACCUGAGGGUGAAGAGUCUGUCCAGUGGCGGUGCAGCUUGUCUAGACUGUUUGUUAGGGAACCUCAGGAACAGACGUCUGUAUUAGAUGACCUGUUAGGGAAAUAAAUCUGCGUGACUCCAAGCUACUGAAUCCUGGUCAUCACUCUACUGGUAUGUGUUAUUAGAAUGGUAGUGUAGCAUCGUUGGAAUUGGCUUCCUCCUCCAGGUCUUGAACACGCUAGAGAAAAUGGUCCGGUGGAAUAAAAGGACCAGUUUCUACAAAUGGUGACCCCGAGACGUGCUUGAAGGGGGGAGUGGAGACCAACGCGGACGACGGCGAAAGGUCCGAUCCGGUAAACUUGAUCGCGGUAGACAUACCAGUGUCUUUUUUCCACGACCAUUCAACCUUCACCCCACGGCCGGCCACAUAGAAUAAGAGAGAUAAAAGAAUCUGUAACCAAGGAAGGGCCAAGAGCAAAUUGACAGCUCCCAUUCCUCAACAAAUGGCGUCACGAACAGGAUCUCUCUGGAAAAAGACGGACACCGGUUUCAGGACCUUCAGACUCAGGCAGUAACCAAGGAGCGCUCCACUAAUACCAGGUAAGACACACCUGUUCCUGUUAUUACGGGCAAAGUGUCAAGAUUCGGCUUAUGUCCAAUAAGGACCGAUCAAAUCAAACUGCUCUGAUCCUGAAUGUGUUGAACCAAGUAUAGUGGUUGGGUCUUGUAGGUGGCAAAUAACAAAUUGAUAAUGAGUUGUAUGAAAUAUGUGACAAUGGAAAAAUGAAGUACUGUACAGGAAAAAGGAAUUAAAGUAUAGGUGUGAGGUAUAUUCAAAACAAUAUACCGUCCAAACUUUGCCACUGAGUAGUAGAUAACUGAAUUGGCACAGUUAUUGAGUCACCAAGUAGGCGGUUUAAAUUAGGUAGAACCGCUGAGUUGUAGGUAUGGCUAGUAGCUGACGAGCAAAGACCAUACUGAGUUCGUAGGCAAUUAAAAAAUUAGUGGUUAAUUGCUGAGGCAGGUCCAGGUAACUUUUAUUAUUCUGGAUGCUGUUAAAUUGUAGGACUGACGACUGGAGAUCGCGGUCUGAGUAAACAGCUGUAUAUUUAGGGAAAGUUAGGGACAGCUCCAUGUUACAAUUGGAGAAUUACGUGACGUCACACAGUCCAUAAGGGAGUAUAUUGGACGGUGAGUAUGAUAAAAACAUGGUGAACUGUAAGAUGGACGGAACGCCUGAAGGCAAGAAAACAGUUGAAAUACCGUCUGGUGGUAAGUAGGAAAGAAAGGAAGACGAAUGCAUUGCGCAGAGAGAGAAAAGGGCGAAUGCACUGCGCAGAGGGGUAAGUAAAGCGAGAAAACAAGGUCUUAAGAAUAAAUUGUAAGAAUAAGACAAUAGUUUGAAAUAUAAAAAGAAAAAACUAAGUGUAUUCAAUUUGAGCUAUAAUAACAAUAUAAUAAUAAUAAUACAUUUUAUUUGUGGGGGUCUUUCUAUGAACUCAAGGACACCUUACAACAAGCAGUUAAAAUCACGAAUACAAUGUUAAGAUCAACAUCAAAUAAAAUAAGAAAAAAAAUACAACAA